Molecule: transfer RNA, 72 nt
Filed under: Pteridomonas sp. YPF1301
Lineage: Eukaryota; Dictyochophyceae; Pedinellales
Description: tRNA-Asn
Rfam family: tRNA
About the family: Transfer RNA (tRNA) molecules are approximately 80 nucleotides in length.
Source: RNAcentral
UCUUUAAUAGCUCAGAGGUAGAGCAUUUAGCUGUUAACUAAAAAGUCCUUGGUUCAAUUCCAAGUUAAAGAU